GACGAACGCUGGCGGCGUGCUUCACACAUGCAAGUCGAACGAUGAAGCCGGAGCUUGCUCUGCUGAAUUAGUGGCGAACGGGUGAGUAACACGUGAGUAACCUGCCCUUAACUCUGGGAUAACUGCCAGAACUGGUAGCUAAUACCGGAUACGACCCUCGGAGGCAUCUACGUGGGGUGGAAAGAAUCUCGGUCAAUGUUGGACUCGCGGCCUAUCAGCUAGUUGGUGAGGUAACGGCUCACCAAGGCGACGACGGGUAGCCGGCCUGAGAGGGGAAACGGGCAGAAAGGGACUGAGACACGGCCCUUACAUCUACGGAUGGCAGCAACAGGGAAUCGUACGCAAUGGACGCAAGUCUGACGUCGCAAUGCCGCGUGGAGGAUGAAGGCCUUCGGGUCGUAAACUCCUUUUACAGUAAUAGAGAUGUUAUUGAGAAUAAGCACCUGCUAACUCUGUGCCAGCAGCCGCCGUAA
RNAcentral lists this ribosomal RNA (473 nucleotides) under uncultured bacterium. Its description in RNAcentral is "partial 16S ribosomal RNA". It matches the Rfam family "Bacterial small subunit ribosomal RNA", at positions 28 to 523 of the family's 1533-position model. The record is from RNAcentral.